Molecule: ribosomal RNA, 234 nt
Filed under: uncultured bacterium
Lineage: Bacteria
Description: partial 16S ribosomal RNA
Rfam family: Bacterial small subunit ribosomal RNA
Source: RNAcentral
GACAGAGGAUGCAAGCGUUAUCCGGAAUGAUUGGGCGUAAAGCGUCUGUAGGUGGCUUUUCAAGUCCGCCGUCAAAUCCCAGGGCUCAACCCUGGACAGGCGGGUGGAAACUACCAAGCUGGAGUACGGUAGGGGCAGAGGGAAUUUCCGGUGGAGCGGUGAAACGCAUUGAGAUCGGAAAGAACACCAACGGCGGAAAGCACUCUAGCUGGGCCGACACUGCACUGAGAGACG